Molecule: long non-coding RNA, 609 nt
Filed under: Drosophila guanche
Lineage: Eukaryota; Metazoa; Arthropoda; Insecta; Diptera; Drosophilidae
Source: RNAcentral
AUACUAGCUGACCCGGCGAACUUCGCACCGCCUAACAGUCAAUGAAUGUCGUGUUACUUUUUAGCUGAACUAAUUUAGGCUCUGAUGAACGUACAACAAUGAUACAAAAUAAUAUGUUUAUAUAGAUAGAAACAAAAAAGUACCAACUUGAUAGCGCGUGAUUUCAUCGUUGGUAUUGGAUGUUUGGAUACCAAAAACCGCCAUGUCGCUCCCUUUCGUGACAAAUUUUGCAAAUGUAUGGCAUGCGCUCUAAAGCAGUCUUGAACAGCCUGACCAAUGCAUGAUGCUAAUGAAGCAUUUGCUGUAGAUCUUGGAGAAUUGCUCUCUUCGUAGCUGUGUUGAUCCCUUGACGCCUGUCAAGUUGUUUUCCAUAUUGCCCAUAUUGCAAGAAUUUAUGCGAUGCAUCUUCUAUAGGUUGCAAUGAUCCAAUGCGAUGGUAAAAGGAUUUUCAUUCAAGCACUUUGUGGUAAACGACAUUCUUUGUUUUUUGGUCAGGCGCAAGAACAAAUAAAGCGGAUGGUUUGCCGACACGUGUCGUACGGUGCAUGUUAACUGGUACUCUUUUACAUUCAUUUUCUAGAUUGAGGCCACAAAUAGUCAAGGAUUGGC